Molecule: unclassified non-coding RNA, 200 nt
Filed under: soil metagenome
Description: partial internal transcribed spacer 2
Source: RNAcentral
UUAAGUUCAGCGGGUAGUCUUGCUUGAUUUGAUGCCAAAUUAAAAAGAUAGAUUUAAUGUCCAAUCCGUCCUAGGCCCAAGAAUGCUUAGCACUCGGACUAGUCCAAACUGACCAUCCUCUAGCUCUGUUUAAACUCGGUCAACAAAGACACGAGUCAAAUCGCAUUGCUGCAGAAGAGUACGGCACUCAAACAAACAUG